UUUGGAGGGCAAGUCUGGUGCCAGCAGCCGCGGUAAUUCCAGCUCCAAUAGCGUAUAUUAAAGUUGUUGCAGUUAAAAAGCUCGUAGUUGAAUUUCGGGAUCAAUACGUCGGUCGUGCCUCUGGUAUGUACUGGUGUUAUUGAUUUCUCCCUUCUGAUGAACCAUGAUGUCAUUCAUUUGGUGUUGUGUGGAGUCAGGACUGUUACUUUGAAAAAAUUAGAGUG
This 224-nucleotide ribosomal RNA is filed under the name Glomeraceae sp. RNAcentral's name for it is "partial small subunit ribosomal RNA". It matches the Rfam family "Eukaryotic small subunit ribosomal RNA", at positions 547 to 773 of the family's 1831-position model. Lineage: Eukaryota; Fungi; Glomeromycota; Glomeromycetes; Glomerales; Glomeraceae. The record is from RNAcentral.